Molecule: ribosomal RNA, 525 nt
Filed under: uncultured eukaryote
Lineage: Eukaryota
Description: partial small subunit ribosomal RNA
Source: RNAcentral
UAUGGUCUACAUGCUUAAACGGCUUGGCUUGAGCAUGUCAUUUAUCAUAGGUCUUUCUAUCGUCAGCCAGAUGAUGAACUUUUUGUUCCUCAAAUUAUGGGGCAGGUAUACUGACCGAUUCAGCAAUAAAUCCGUUCUUGCCAUAUGCGGACCACUAUUCAUCACAUCGAUACUUGCCUGGACAUUUACCACAAUGCCUGAAAAGUAUUUUUUAACAAUUCCUUUGCUUAUUAUUAUUCAUAUUGUAAUGGGUGUAUCUUCGGCUGGGGUAUCUCUUGCUUCAGGAAAUAUCAGCUUGAAACUUGCUCCAAAGGGGCAGGCGACGGUCUACCUUGCAGCCAAUACUAUUGCAAAUUCAGUAGCAGCCGGCAUAGCUCCUAUCAUUGGAGGUAAAUUUGCAGAUUUCUUUUCAGGAAGACAAUUGGCCUGGACCCUUAAAUAUACAAGCCCCUCAGGUGAGUUUGAUAUGCUUACGUUGAAUCUUCAGCAGUGGGAUUUCUUCUUUGUACUGGCCUUUAUAAUCGG